RNAcentral lists this ribosomal RNA (285 nucleotides) under Fusobacterium naviforme. Its description in RNAcentral is "partial 23S ribosomal RNA". It matches the Rfam family "Bacterial large subunit ribosomal RNA", at positions 2637 to 2925 of the family's 2925-position model. Lineage: Bacteria; Fusobacteriati; Fusobacteriota; Fusobacteriia; Fusobacteriales; Fusobacteriaceae. The record is from RNAcentral.
CCUAUCCGGCGCGGGCGUAAGAUAUCUGAGAGGAGCUGUCCUUAGUACGAGAGGACCGGGAUGGACUGACCACUGGUGUACCGGUUGGGGAGCAACCCCACGGCCGGGUAGCCAAGUCGGGCCGGGAUAAACGCUGAAGGCAUCUAAGCGUGAAGCCCCCCUCAAGAUGGGAUAUCUCAUGCGAGAGUAGUAAGACCCCUUUAAGACUAAGAGGUAGAUAGGGCAGAGGUGUAAGCGUAGCGAUACGUUCAGCUGACUGUCACUAAUCGGUCGAGGGUUUAACCA